GUGAAUUAAAAGGGAGAAGCUAUUGCGCCAAGCUUCUCCGAUCUGCUACUGUUCUCUGUUUCUUGAAAAGCUAAGGACAAUGUUAUGUCUUGUCAGAACUGGAUACGCGUAUUACGUUGACCCAUAAACUAUAAUAUAGUAGAAUACAGUUUUAUUUUUCAUCUAUUUCUGAACGAAUAUAAUUAUCAGUUUUAAAUAACGAGGAGUUCGAUUUAAUCAACUUGAUUCAGUUUAAACUGAAACUGACGGAUUGCAUAAUCUGCAUGAUCUUGCACUACCUUCCAGGCCAUAAUCACAUGCCGAUCUUCUGUAAGAGUAGCACCAACAGCAAACCGUAAGAUAUAAACUUCCCCAACAAUAGCAUGAGUCAGGUAAAUGCAGCCUGAAGCGUUAACGGACUCCAGUAAUUUUCUAUUCAGCUCAUUCGCAAGUAUAUCUUGAUCAUGGAGCUUCCCAUUUGCCACUGCAAUUGCCCCCGGCUGAAUCCUGAAGCAAACCGUUGCAAAAUUUCUGGGCACCACUAUCUCAAAUCUGUUGUCCUCCGCUACAUAUCCUUCAAAAAGCUUGGCCAUUUCGACAUGGCGUCUGAGGAAGUUUCUGAGGUUGGUCACACCGUAACUUCUCAACACAAGCCAGAGUUUCAUGGAUCGAAACUUCCGGCUUAGGGCUAUUUGCCAGUCUUUGUAGUCCACUACCUGUGCUGAAUCAGAAGCUUUAUUCCUUAGGAGCUCAUGAUUUGUUGAGAGCGACCUUACAAGAGCACAUGGAUCCUUCACCCAGAGGCAGCAGCAAUCCAAAGUGGUAAAGAACCAUUUAUGAGCAUUGAGACUAAACGAGUUUGCACCCUCUACCCCGUCAAGAAAAUGAUUAAACUCUGGGCAUAUACACGCGUUCCCAGCGUAAGCAGCAUCUACAUGAACCCAUACGCUGUGUUGGUUUGCCACUUCGCAUAAUGGUCUCAGUGGAUCAACAGUAGUGGUUGCAGUUGUACCCACAGUGGCGCAGAGAAACAAAGGGAUCAGGCCGGCUUCUAAAUCUGAUCGAACAGACAAGCUGAAUGAAUCAGAGGACAGCGCAAACAAUGUUGCUUUAGUGGUCUUAAUGGCUCGAAUAUUCUCAGGAUGGAUUCCAGCAAUUUGAGCUGCCUUUAGGAAUGCGAAAUGUGUUUGAUCUGAACCAUAAACAACUAGCUUCCCGAUUUUCUCCUUUCCAACCCGGCUUAGCAUUUGAUCUCUGGCAGCAAUGAGGGUGCACAAAAUGGCUUCGCAGGUAGUGCCUUGGAUAACACCCCCACCAUUUCCAGAGAAGAGGAAAGAUCUUGGAAGCUCAAGCAUUUCUCCAAGCCAGUCCAUCACAAUGCUUUCUAGCUCAGUUGCAGCUGGUGAUGACGCCCGGUUGAAACCCACAACAUUAAAGCCACUGCUAAGCAUUUCACCGAGAAAACCUGCAGUGCUGCCACUUGAUGGGAAGUAUGCAAAGUAGUUAGGACUCUGCCAGUGUGUAAUGCCAGGAAUUAUAUGUUUUUGCACAUCUUUAAGGAUUGUUUCUAUCGGUUCAGGAUUAUAAGGCGCAGAUUCAGGCAAACGUUUUCGAAGAUAACCCGGUUCAACUUGGCUUAGAACUGGGUAUUUCUCGAUAUUCAUAUAAUAAUCGGCGAUGAAGUCUACGAUCAUGUGAGCUUGCGUUCUGAAUUCCUCAUGGCAUAAAGGGUUCAUAGCUUGAUUGUUGAAGGAAGAUUCUUGUUCAAAUUCUUCGUUGAACUCACGGCUGCUCAUUUUGGAAAGGGAAAC
RNAcentral lists this unclassified non-coding RNA (1790 nucleotides) under Hevea brasiliensis (rubber tree). Lineage: Eukaryota; Viridiplantae; Streptophyta; Magnoliopsida; Malpighiales; Euphorbiaceae. The record is from RNAcentral.